This 496-nucleotide ribosomal RNA is filed under the name uncultured bacterium. RNAcentral describes it as "partial 16S ribosomal RNA". It matches the Rfam family "Bacterial small subunit ribosomal RNA", at positions 29 to 507 of the family's 1533-position model. The record is from RNAcentral.
AUGAACGCUGGCGGCGUGCCUAAUACAUGCAAGUCGAGCGAACAGACGAGGAGCUUGCUCCUCUGAUGUUAGCGGCGGACGGGUGAGUAACACGUGGAUAACCUACCUAUAAGACUGGGAUAACUUCGGGAAACCGGAGCUAAUACCGGAUAACAUGUUGAACCGCAUGGUUCAACAGUGAAAGACGGUCUUGCUGUCACUUAUAGAUGGAUCCGCGCCGCAUUAGCUAGUUGGUAAGGUAACGGCUUACCAAGGCAACGAUGCGUAGCCGACCUGAGAGGGUGAUCGGCCACACUGGAACUGAGACACGGUCCAGACUCCUACGGGAGGCAGCAGUAGGGAAUCUUCCGCAAUGGGCGAAAGCCUGACGGAGCAACGCCGCGUGAGUGAAGAAGGUCUUCGGGUCGUAAAACUCUGUUAUUAGGGAAGAACAAAUGUGUGAGUAACUAUGCACGUCUUGACGGUACCUAAUCAGAAAGCCACGGCUAACUACGUG